AGAGUUUGAUCCUGGCUCAGGACGAACGCUGGCGGCGUGCUUAACACAUGCAAGUCGAACGGUGAACCCUUCGGUGGGGAUUAGUGGCGAACGGGUGAGUAACACGUGGGCAAUCUGCCCUUCACUCUGGGACAAGCCCUGGAAACGGGGUCUAAUACCGGAUAAUACUUCCACUCGCAUGGGUGGGGGUUGAAAGCUCCGGCGGUGAAGGAUGAGCCCGCGGCCUAUCAGCUUGUUGGUGAGGUAGUGGCUCACCAAGGCGACGACGGGUAGCCGGCCUGAGAGGGCGACCGGCCACACUGGGACUGAGACACGGCCCAGACUCCUACGGGAGGCAGCAGUGGGGAAUAUUGCACAAUGGGCGAAAGCCUGAUGCAGCGACGCCGCGUGAGGGAUGACGGCCUUCGGGUUGUAAACCUCUUUCAGCAGGGAAGAAGCGAAAGUGACGGUACCUGCAGAAGAGGCGCCGGCUAACUACGUGCCAGCAGCCGCGGUAAUACGUAGGGCGCAAGCGUUGUCCGGAAUUAUUGGGCGUAAAGAGCUCGUAGGCGGUCUGUCGCGUCGGAUGUGAAAGCCCGGGGCUUAACCCCGGGUCUGCAUUCGAUACGGGCAGACUAGAGUGUGGUAGGGGAGAUCGGAAUUCCUGGUGUAGCGGUGAAAUGCGCAGAUAUCAGGAGGAACACCGGUGGCGAAGGCGGAUCUCUGGGCCAUUACUGACGCUGAGGAGCGAAAGCGUGGGGAGCGAACAGGAUUAGAUACCCUAGUAGUCC
RNAcentral lists this ribosomal RNA (770 nucleotides) under uncultured bacterium. RNAcentral's name for it is "bacterial SSU rRNA". It matches the Rfam family "Bacterial small subunit ribosomal RNA", at positions 8 to 796 of the family's 1533-position model. The record is from RNAcentral.